Non-coding RNA from Camellia sinensis, 388 nucleotides. The record is from RefSeq and is a predicted model, not a curated record. Lineage: Eukaryota; Viridiplantae; Streptophyta; Magnoliopsida; Ericales; Theaceae.
ACCCUUUAUGACGGAGAAACCCGCUUGUUCCUCCGCAACAGUGGCAUGUUGAUUUCUCGACAGAGUAGUUUUAGUUACUCGUCAUAUAAGUGCUGGCCUCUUCUUACAUGUGAAACUCAACAGGGUUGAGUGGCCUCUUCUAAAGCCAAAUCUUCUGUCCUGUUUGGUUGCUGAGAAAGUGGGGGGAAAAAGUAAAGAAAAUGAAUUUUUUGAGUCCUACUGGAUACUGUCAUUUCUGGGUUUUGUUGUAUAUUAUUUAUGUAGUUGAUGAAUUCGUUGAUUGUUGAAAGGUCUGACAUGAUUGUAUUUUUAUCAAAAUUAUAUAUACAAUUUUGACUGAUAGCAAUUUUGUGGCUUUGUAUACAAGGUAGUAAUUAAUUUUUUGGUU